GCUCCGAUCGUCUAGUGGUCAAGGAUGCUGGCCUCUCACGCCAGUGACCCGGGUUCGAAUCCCGGUCGGAGCA
This 73-nucleotide transfer RNA is filed under the name Microcaldota archaeon. RNAcentral describes it as "tRNA-Glu". It matches the Rfam family "tRNA". Rfam says of the family: Transfer RNA (tRNA) molecules are approximately 80 nucleotides in length. Their secondary structure includes four short double-helical elements and three loops (D, anti-codon, and T loops). Lineage: Archaea; Nanobdellati; Microcaldota. The record is from RNAcentral.